This is a small nucleolar RNA of Pteronotus mesoamericanus, 105 nucleotides long. RefSeq annotates it as small nucleolar RNA SNORA65. The transcript has a single exon. Lineage: Eukaryota; Metazoa; Chordata; Mammalia; Chiroptera; Mormoopidae. The record is from RefSeq and is a predicted model, not a curated record.
CCCCUCACUCGUGCAACCCAGUGGUGAGCCGAUACUAAACCCCAGCUUAGGAAACAGGGUUGUUCUUCCUGGGGAUAACUCUGUGCCGAAAGCGUGGGAACAGCU